CAGCCAAAUCAUGUUAAAACACCUGUUUCUGUACGAUCACUGAAGUUAAGCAAUGUUGAGCCUGGUCAGUACCUAGAUGGAUGACUGCUUGGGGGAUACCAGAUGCUGUAAG
Molecule: non-coding RNA, 112 nt
Organism: Acanthosepion pharaonis
Lineage: Eukaryota; Metazoa; Mollusca; Cephalopoda; Sepiida; Sepiidae
Source: the annotation of a GenBank genome assembly